CAUGGUAUCAGAGCUACAGUGAGAAUAUUAUAGCUGUGCAUCAUUCCAGCUACUUCCGGGAAGAAAGACCUCGUCGCCGUGCAAUUUUCCGGCGACGUAAGAGGCUGUCCGUAACUAAACUACCUUUUUUGUUGGUGUUGUGCAAAAUCCGAGACCACCACGAGGUUCGGAAGAGAAUUCCGACCAACCACAAAAAAAAUCACC
This 204-nucleotide long non-coding RNA is filed under the name Nicotiana benthamiana. Its description in RNAcentral is "long non-coding RNA (NBEN_LNC037995)". Lineage: Eukaryota; Viridiplantae; Streptophyta; Magnoliopsida; Solanales; Solanaceae. The record is from RNAcentral.